Molecule: non-coding RNA, 30 nt
Filed under: Mus musculus (house mouse)
Lineage: Eukaryota; Metazoa; Chordata; Mammalia; Rodentia; Muridae
Source: RNAcentral
UGUAAGGAUUCUUUACAUUUUCUGGAUAGG